CCGUCAUAGGACGCCUAUUACAAGGAAAGAGUGAAUGGAAAAGCGUGCUGGACACUCUCACCGACCAGUGGUCAAGGGGCCGGAAAGGAGUUUCAGCUGUUUUGGCAUCAAGCUACAACGACCUUCCAUCUUAUCUCAAGACUUGUUUUUUGUCCUUUGCUAUCUUUCCAGAAGACUUUGUCAUCCCAACACGUAAGUUGUUCCAUAUGUGGAUCGCUGAGGGCUUAAUUCAUCAAAAAGGAGUAGAAGUAUUGGAGGAUGUAGCAGCAGAUCGUUUGGAUGAGUUGGUGUACAGGAACUUGGUCCAGGUGGUGGCAUUGACUGCUAAUGGGAAGGUCAAAAGUUGUCGAGUCCAUGAUCUAUUGCGUGAUUUAGCUGUUGCAAAAGCAGAGGAGGUAAUGUUUCUUAAAAUCUUUGGAGAAAGUAGUAGUAGUUUUCCCCCAUCUAAAUGCCGGCAUCUUCUUGUUAAUUCUUGCUCUGAAAUGCUAAACUAUCCUGGAGAAUUUGAGCACUCAACCCCUCCUCUCCGCUCCUUGAUCUUCUUCAAUGUUGCUGAAGUUAAACAUGAAUUUAAUUUGAGUUUUGCAAGGUUCAAACUACUUAGAGUGCUUGACCUGCAAAAUAUGAAUACCUCGUAUUUACCUGAAGAAAUUGGUGAACUUUGUCUUCUAAUGUAUCUUUGUUUAAGACGCACGAGGAUCAAAAGGCUUCCACUCUCUCUAGGUUGCUUGCAAAAUCUGCAAACGCUUGACAUAUAUAUUGUUGGCUCAGUCGUGGAGGUCCCCAAUGUGUUAUGGAAGCUUAAAAAUCUCCGGCAUUUAUAUAUUCGUGAAACAAUUAAACAUGUACCACUGAAGUUUGAUACUUUGAAGAAUCUCCAAACUCUGUGUGAUGUAUAUCUAGAUACUCUGAUUGGUAACAAAAUGAUGCUGUUAACCAGCAUGAGGAAAUUGGGGGUGUGGAUAGAAAGAAGCUCGAGAAUUGAUGAACUUUUUAGUUCAAUUGCUGAGCUUGAGAACCUUGUCCACCUGGAAUUGGUCAGGUAUGGCGAAGAGGGGUUUCCAUCUUUGAUUGGUCUUUCCCACCUCAAUUAUGUCAAUCGGCUAAGGUUAUCUGGCUGGUUGACUGAGCUACCUAGCCCUCAUAAUUUUCCCCCAAGACUCUCUCAUUUGUCUUUGCUUGGCACAAAACUUGCAGAAGACCCCAUGCCAACACUGGAGAAGUUAGAACACCUUUCCAUUCUGAAACUGAAAAAUGCCUACGCGGGAAAAGAACUAGUUAUUUCAGAUAACCAGUUUCCCAAUCUCACAGUCCUUCAGCUUGAGCACCUGCCUAAUUUGAUUGAGAUCAAAAUCGGAAGAGGGGCAAUGCCACAGCUCAGGUGCUUGCGAAUCAGCAACUGCUACUUUGUAGAAAUGCUUCCUGAAGAGCUGCGGUUCAUGGAAGCUCUUGAAAAGGUGGAGGUAGAGGACAUGCCAAAAAGAUUCAUCACUAGGCUUCAUGGAAUGGAUUCAUACAAGGUCAGUCAUGUCCCAAACAUUAUCGUGACCGGCACUCUUGACCCUACAAUGUUGGGAGGGAAGCUCAAGGCUCGAAGGUUCGCAGACGUGUUAAAAAGAAGAGGCAAGAGAACUUGAUAGCUGUGUCAAAAUUUCCAAGUGAACUUCGCGUUUAUUUUUUUUUUGUUCAAUAAAAAUCAAUGCAUAUGUAGAUAUAUACUCUGUAUUUCUCUGAAUAUUUCUACUGCUACUUUUGUAACUAGUUAUUGUUAUUUAUUGCUUCUAAGCUAGCGAUGUUAUGGUGAUAAAGGAGGAGUUAGUAGUACUUUUUGUUCCUUAGUUUUCGUUUUUUGAGUUCAAUUAGUUAAAUUAGUCAAGUUCUUGGCUUCUCGUUGGAUUAUAAAUAUUAAUUAGCUGACAAUGAAUAUGAUGAUGGAGAUAAUGCGGUUGGCUUCUUAAAUAUGAGACUUGAUACCUUUUGGUUUUUAAUUGUUCUUUUAUUGGGUUGGAAAAGAAAGAAAUCUUGGGAUUUUUGAUAUCUCAAGUUGACCAUGAUAAUCAUAGUAAUAGUAAUAUUGAAGUUGUUGGGGCAAAGGAAAGACUCUGGUCAAUUUCUUUGGGCUGGUAAGUCCAUUGAAUCAUCAUUUUAUACCAAAUCAUGAAUUAAAAAGCUUUUGUGUGUGGACAUCCAAACAAAGGCCUUCAAUUAAGGUUUGGUGUGGUAAACUUUCUCAUAGUACAGUUCCAUGUGAAAUGAUGUGUUACUCUAUGAAGCUUUACCAAUUUUUCUAAUUGGAAAUUCUUGAUUUAGGAAUCUUCGUAUAUUUACAAGUGAUGAAUGUGGCUUUGCUCCUACCAUUAUGCUUUUCAAUGUAAGAUUUUUUUAGUUGGUGUCGUUUACUGGUACUAAGUGUAGAAAUAAAAGGUUUAAAUUAUUUUUCCGAACUAAUCUGCGCUACGUAUUCCAUUAUUUUUACUUAUAUCAACAUAUAACGUCUUCAUAAUUCUUGAUUUUGAGGAUCACAAGUUUUGAGAAAUGGUCCAUUUUCUAUUAAUAGGAAUCAGUCAAAUGAUUGGCUUAUUCUUGCUCCUAUGUUUCAAUCAUUUUUUUUUUCUUUUUUAAGUAGAAGUUUCAACUCAGGUCGAUUUGCUAGAAAAAAACACUUAGGUUAAUUUAAGUAUGGUUAUGAAUGAAAAAGCUCCUGGUACAAGUAGCAAACAUUUUUAUGUGUCGUAUGGCAAUUUAUUUUUGAGUGAGUAUAUUUUAUAUACUAUCAGUGUAUAUUUUUUUUUAUAAUAGUAGGUUUAGAUUAUACUACAUAAUAUGAAUUCAAAUUUAAAAUUCAAAUUAUGCAUAUAUGGUAAAUAUCCAUGUCUGUUAGUGCAAAAAAAUCACUAUACUGUCGAUACAUAAAAAGUUAAUCCUUUAUUUUUUUUUUCGCUUCAUAUCACUUUUCUAGUAGUUGGAGAAUAAAUGAUCUAAGUUACAGGAUUACAUGUAAUUUUGCUCAAUGAUAGAUCAUACGCAUUUUUUGUGUUCUUCGGAAUUUUUACACAAUUUUCCUACAUUAUCUCACUACAUUGGAUCAAUGGCGAAAGUAAAAAAUCAGUUUUUUUUUUGUGAGUAAUUAUAAUUUCUUACAAAAAGUUGAAGUCUUUUUUUUUGGCGAAGGGUUAUAAUUUUUCAGAGUGUCCAAGCCAUGACAACAGCAAAUAUUGUGCGAGAAAGAAUAUUGAAGUUCUCACGAUUCACAAAAGCAUAUUGGUAAUGUGUGGAGAAGGCAAAUACUUAAUUUUCAUAUUGCGAAACAAUUAAAUGUUUGUGUAAACAAGUUUACAAAAGAAAAGGUGUGUAACUGGAUUUGAAGUUAUGUAGAAUCUUAUAAAAAACUAAGCAUGAGUUGCAUGUGAAAUUUUCAUGUCGUGAAAUUCUUGAGUAUUUGAGUGUAUUAAGUACAAAAUUCUUUGUUCUUUAUCCAAUGUCCGAAAUCUUUCCAUAUAUAACACAUGUGGCAUGGGUUUAGUGUUAAAAUCUUUUGUCAUCUUUUUUUUUUUCUUUCAAUUUUACCUUUAUAAAAGUAAAGAUUUACUAAAGUUAACUGCUAAAAUUCAGUAACUUCUAAUAACUUUCUUAUUUUAACUUCCAAUAACCUUUUCUGUGGUUUACAAAAAAAGCAAAAAAAUCACAACUUUUUUUUUUUGCAACAAAAAAAUAAAACUGCUAAUAACUUGCAUUGCUUUGAAAAAAAAAGAUGAACAACUUAAUUUUUUUACCGUAAGUUGCAUACCCAUAAGGUGUGUCCCUUUGUACCUAGAUGCUCAAGAUAUGAAGAACUUUUCAGUUAUAUUGCCAUGCUUGAAAGCCUAAUGUUCUCCCUGAAAUUGUCGACGUUUGGAUACCAAAAUUAUUCCAAAUAAUAUUUCGUUUGCAUCACAAACAUAUUUCCCAACCUACUUUUUUAUAUUUCCAAACAUCUUUUUAUCUCACAUACAUCAUAUCACAAAAAGUGCUACAGUAAUUAUUUCAAAUAAUACACUAUCCAAACAAAUUAACAUGGAACAUCCUAAAUGCCAGCAUCUCGUUGUUCAUUCUUGCUCUGAAAGAUUUAACUAUCCUGAAAGAUUUGGCUAGUUUUGUCGUUUGCUGGAGAGAAUCUUAGAUCUUCUUUAAUCUUGCGGAAGCUGAACAUGAAUUUAAUUUGAGUUUUGCAAGAAUCAAACUACUUAAGAGUGCUUGACCUGGAAAAUAUGAAUAUAUUGUAUUUACCAGAAGAAAUUGGUGAACUUAGUCUUCUAAGGUAUCUUUGUUUAAGAUCAAAAGGCAUCCACUCUCUCUAUCUAGGUUGCUUCCAAAAUCUACAAAUGCUUGACAUGUACAUUUUCGACUUAGUGGAGGUCCCCAAUAUGCUAUGGAACGUUAAAAAUCUCGGCAUUUAUUUAUUCGUGCAUCAAAUUAUAAAAGUUUACCACUGAAGUUUGAUGCUCCGAAGAAUCUCCAAACUCUGUGUAAUGUGCAUUUAAAUACUCUGAUUGAUAACAAACUAGCGCCGCCAAUUAGCUAGCAUUAGGAAAUUGGGUGCACGGAAGGUCAAGAAUUGAUGGAACUUUUUAGUUCAAUUGCUAACUAAGCUUGAGAACCUAAUUGUCUCCCCUGGUAUUAUUGAUGGAUGAAGAAGAGGGGUUUCCAUCUUUCAUUGGCCAUUCCCAUCUCCUCAAUUAUGUCAAACGUUUAAAGUUGUCUGGCAGGUUGACUGACUGACCUGGCGCUCAUAAUUUCCCCCCAAGACUCUUAUCAUUCGACGCUGCUUGCCACAGAACUUGCAGAAAACCCCAUGCCAACACUGGAGAAGUUAGGAACACCUUUCCACUCUGAAACUAAAAUAAUGCCAAUGCAGGAAAAGAACUAGUAAUUUCAGAAAACCAGUGUCACAACCUCACAUUCCUUCAGCUUGACGAGCUGCCUGCCUAAUUUGAUAGAGAUCAAAAUCAGAAAAGGAGCAAUGCCGCAGGUCGGGCUCUUGCGGAUCAGCAAGUGCUAGUCUUUGGAAAUGCUUCCUGAAGAGUUGGAAGUUCAUGAAAGCUCUUGAAAAGCUAGAGGUUGUUGACAUGCCAAAAGAAUCCUUCAUUAGGAUUCAAGGAAUAGAUUCGUACAAGGUCAGUCAUGUCUCAAACAUUAUCCUGACCGGCAUUCUUGAACCUCAAAUGUUGCUUAUAGCUUGAAGAUUCGGCGGGAUGUAAAUUGAAGCAGGUUUGGGAACUUUAUAGCUGCACUUUUCAAACGAACUACAACUGAAUUUCAUUUCUUUAGAGCUCAAUUGCGUUUUUUGUAUUCUUCAGCGGCCUGGAUUCAAAAUUUCUAAUUCCAAGUUAACUUCACAUUUUUUUUUCAAUUAAAAUUCAACGCAUAUGUAGAUACAUAAUCUCUGUUUGUUUUUUAUUAUUUCUGCUACUAGUUAAUUUGUUCAAGUUCUACUAUUAGUUAAUUUAUUUUCCCAAUUAAAAAUCAACGCAUAUGUAGAUACAUAAUCUUUGUUUGUUUGAUUACUAUUACAUAAUCUCUAUUUGUUUGAUUACUUCAAUUUUAAAACACUUAAAAAUAUCACAAGAAUCAGAUUUAUUUUUCAAAAAAAAAAAAACCUAAAGUUUUCCUGCUAAAAUCUUCAAAUCAGUCUUAAUGUGGGCCUCCUCCCCUCCCUACAAAGGAUCUAAGAGAUUUCGACAAGACCACUUAGAGAAGUAAUCUGAACAAUCAAUUUGGGAGAAAAACGUUUUUCCAAACUGAUUGCAUUAUUAGAUUAUUCAACAAGUCAGCUUACAGAUUGCUUGACUCUCAUAUUUUUCCUCUAUUUUGCUUGUAAUAAGUCAUAAGUCAAAUAAUGUAAUCAUUCUUCAAUUAUUCAACUUUUUCUUAAUUGCCUAAUCAGAUCAGAUAUUUGCAUUUUUCUUCAAAAUUAGGUUGUCUUUCACACAAAAGUCAACCUUUUGAUGAAUUAUCAAUUGUAUUUCAUCUGUUUAUAACCAUUAGAUUGAAAGACAAAGUAAUAGCAUAGUUUAGCUUUCAUAUAUAGAUUAUCUUUUUAGAUGAAAUUAUUAUCAACAAACUAACUUGAAUAGUACAGUAUGCUAUCAACUUUUAUUGUGCUUCAUUUCCUUCUUGUUUUAUUUCCUUCUCGUUCUCAGAUAGCAGAGAGAGUUUCCUUCACUUUCUUGUUUUCUCAGGUUUGGUAAUACAAUUUUUAUUACUUUUUACUUUAGCAAAUAUAUGAAUUUAUUUCUUGCUAUAGUAACAUAUAUUUUCUUUUACAUGUUUUGUGUUUUCCUUUUGCAGCAUUACUUUCAGUACUCAAAUUUUUGUUUUUCCUUUCACUUUACUCCAAGUUAGUAACUUCACUUAUAAUUAGCAUGCUUAAUGUUUGAUAAAAUGGUGGUUAAGUUUCAUUGAUAUUCAAAAGUUUCAUGAGUACACUAUUACUACCUGCUUAGUAUUGAAUUAUUUACACUGUGUAACUUAUGAUUGAAAACUCUGGCAAUGAACGUUGAAACUGUUGAAAUAAAUAUAAAUUCAAAUAAUAAUAAUAAUAAUAAUAAUAAUAACAACAACAACAACAACAACAACAUUAUAAUCCGAUUAAAACUUAAGUUAAUUUGUCAAAUAUAACUUGAAAUAAUCAUGUAAAUGGUAUUCCAAUUGAAUUAUAUCCCUCCAAAAUCUACAAAUUGAAAAGUCUAUUAAAUUAUCUCAACUUUAUAUUAUUGCAUAUAAAUAAAUGGAUGUAAUUUCAAAAACAGAAAAAAAUAUUUAAAAUUGAAUCCGACUUAUUACAAAGACAAAGAUUAUUAUUGCUGCCAAAUGCACUGUACAUUUUUCUCUUUCACUUUUAUUCAUUAAUACAUUAAUAUUUAACAACAUUUUAAAAAAUUAUCUUAAAAUAUUUAGCACCAAUUAAACCUAUAUAAACCAACUAGAAUUGCCACCAAACAUAAUAUACACUUUUCCUAUCUAUGCUCUUUAUAAUAUAUUUACACAUAACGCUCAACUUAUAAACAAUCCUUCAAAUUUUAUUACCCUUAAACACUUUAGGGCGGGCGUUGGCUGUGCGUAGCACAGCUGGGCCUUACUAGUGUUCCAUAGGUACACAACUUAGACACGCAAACUUCAACUUGGAUUUUCACAAAAUAUAAAUAUAUAUAACUAUAAACAAAUAUGUGUACAUACAUACAUACAUACAUAUAUAUAUAUUAAUCAUAAUAUAUCAAUUUUGCUCUAUCUUCUUUCCAUUAGAUUGGAUGCUUUCUGUCCAAUUUUCAAUUUAAUUAAUCGAAACCAUAGGGAGUUAUAGUGUAGAUUUUCAAACAAAAGGGAAUUAAAUUGAACAUUUGGCAAAAGACAGGAAGUUUUCUGGUAUUUUACCCUUAAAACAAGGAUAAAAUAAAUAGCCUUAAUGCUAAAAUACUUUAUUGGUAUAUUGAGAUCCCAUUUUAGCAAAAAAAAAAAAAAAGUGAAUAUGCUAAUGGAUAAAAGUUUCAGUGACUAUUAAAUUUAUUCAUCAUUUUUUGCUAGAAAUUAAAAGAAAAUACAUAUCAUUGAUCUAAAAUUGUUGAAUAUAAAACUUUGAUUUCGAAAUUAUUAAAACACCUCUUAGUUAGUAUAUAUAUGUAAUUAAACUAAAAAAAUUCUAUUAAUUUAAUAUAAUUUUACAACUUUUAGGAUCCUAUUAGGAUCAACAUCAAUUUUAUAAAUGGAUCAAAAUGACUAAACUCAUUACCAACUAAUUAUUUAAUAGUAUAAAAUAAUAAUUACUUCUAUUAGACCAAAUUGAUACUAACUAUGCAAAAGAGAAUAAGCAUAUGAGAAAUUAGUGGCAUAAAUAAAUGCAAUAAAAAAUAAAGAAAGAACAAAAAGAAGUUUAAUUGAAAUUCCUAUUACCCAUUUUAUAUAAACUUAUUCUAAUUCGCAUCUCGUUUCAUUCGAUAAAUAUCAAUACCACUAUCUAAAUCGUAUGAGACUAAUCCACUAUAAUGAUUCAAAUUCCAAAUAUUGGAGACCAAAAAUGCAAAGUCUCUCUUUUUUGUUACUAUUGGUCAAUGUUGAAUUUUGGUCAAUUAUCCUAAAUAUGCCUGACGUAAAAAACUUUGAGGACUAAAUUUAUUUCGGCUGAAAUAUUAGAGACCAGUUUGGUACACAGGCUAAACAUUAAGGACUAAAACUACAUUUUUUCCUAAAUUUAUACAAUAUUAAUUACUUACUAUAAUGAACAAGUUAUUCUGGAGUUUGGUCAACCAGCUUUAUAGAUUGCAAGUCGGUUGCCCUGUUGUAUUGGCAACAUUCAUGCACUUUAUCAAUUCUGUCCACAGGAGUGGAGUUAACAAUUCCUUUUUUUCAAGUGUCAUUUUGUGCCAUAUUUUGAAGCUGUAGAUUCAUAUGUGGACGGUGUAAUAUGCAACUGAGUUUUGAAGGAUGUGCUAAUUACCCUUGAUAAAUACAUGUAUCAACUUGUUUCUUGUGCUUGCAUUUUCGUCCUUGAACAAAUGCUUAGUUCUAAUCUCAUUCUCUAUGCCAAACUCUGUCAUGCUACUAACCUAUCAAUUUAAAAUUUUAUUGUUGUAGGCUUUCAUUAAACCUGUUCCAUUAUAGUUCCAGUGAUUAUGUUUUUCUUCUUGACUUGCGUAGGAAGAGAUCCGAACUUUAUCUGCAACUGAAGAGAGUAAUGAAUUGUUAAAGAUUUGGAAAAAUUGCCAAUUUAGUUCUCAAACUAUUUCACUAAAGCCGAUUUGGUCUCUUAAUAUUUUAUUGCAUGAAUUAUGGUCAUUAACUAAAAUUCUUGUGCCAAUUGAGCGUUUAAACGGUGUCGCCACCGAAAACACAUGUUUCUGCACACAAAUCAACGGCGAGGUAGGGGUUUCUUUGAAAAUACACAAUAGGAUUUCUACGGGAAGCAAGACACCGACAUUGGGGGAAACAUUUGAAGCGAAACAGGACCAUGUAAUCCACUUCUUCACCCAAAUCCUCCAAUUCCGUGGCCGAUUGAUACUUUGCAAUGAUUGAUAAGAGGAUGGUAGUAGCCAAGUAGAAGCUGAAGCUGCCCGACCCUCAAACCAAUUGCGGGAUAAGUUGGACAUGCAAAUUGUUGGAACAGGGACGAUGGAUCCCUCCAAUCUUCGCAAUCGGUCACCCAUUUUUAUUCCUUUGCUUUUCAUCGCAACGAUUCUACACAGACUCAGCUUCAACUCGGUGUUUGCUAUUUGCGAGUUUAGCUACAGGGACCAUAACGGGCUCUACAACUAUAGCUUAGCUUCCCCACGUCGUAAAUUUCCCCAUGGCGUCCUCAGAGAAGCCGGGUUUUCUUUAACCCCCCCACAAACCCAACACAAACACCACAAAUCCCCUCUUUUUUUAACUCUCGUAUAUUAAAUUCUUUCUUUUUGAGAUUUUUUUUUUUGUAUUUUUGUGAGUAUAACUAAUGUCCUUCUUGGCAUUGAUAACGGGUCCAUUUUCACUGUCUGUUUUACCGAUUUCGCUGCUAUUGUCUCUUUUUCUUUCUAAAAAAGAUAAUGAAUGUUCCUUUUGGGCCCGGGAGAUUUUUUUGGGAGGGGGUGUGUGUGUGUGUCUGGGGUUCAUACGAAGAAAAAAAAAGACCACAAGAUUUAUGCCGAUGAUGUCAUGGUUGAGCUUGGGGAACUUUGUUCAUUCAACUAAUAAGGAAAGAAACUUUGUUCCUUCACUUGACUGCUGUGCGAAGCAAAAUAAGCAGAUUUGCAAGAAGAACUUCUCUACGAGAAGAUAAAUCCUUCAUUCUAGUAGCUUUAAUCUUUAUAGUCUUUGUCCCUUUUAGUUUUGAUUUUCGAUUAGAUCGGUAGCCUAUAGAUAAAUUGAUACAUAUUUGUUUGUUGGAUUAGUUUGUUAAAUGAAAUGUACAAAUAUACAAAUAAUACAUGCAAUAUAUAAUAAGACUUGGCUUAUACAUAGGUGAGGCUUGAUAACUAAUAACUAAGGCCUUGUUUGCAGAGUGAAAAAUUGUUUCGUUUUCCGUGAACACAUUUUUCAAUCAUUUUUUUAUCUCACAUAUAUCAAAUCACUAUAGCAAUUUUUCUACAAAAAAUUCAGAAAAAUACAAUCCAAACAAUGCCUAAAAUUUUGGUUUGAUUUGAUGCUAGAUCCCAGCCGGAUCAUGUUUUGAAAAUUCUGGUUGAAUUUCUGAUUUGAUUAAGCAUCGGAUCCGGGUUUUGAUUCAAGCCCAAUACGAACUGGAUCAUGUUCUGAAAUCAAAUCCAGUCCUAAAUCUGGAUUUGUGCAGUCAUGAAUCCAGGGCCCGAUCUUUGCUGGCAGUUAGAAAACUCUUUUGUAAUCUUUUCACACUUCACACUCUUGUCGCAUCUCUUGAUUCCAGGGCCCGAUCUUUGCUAACACGUAGAUUUUUGGCAAAACUCUUUUGGCAUCUUUUCUCACUUUUUUUUUUUUUUCGAAGCUCAAAGAACUUACGUCAAUUUUUACAAACUUAAAUCCCAGAGAACCCCAAAAGUCAGUAUCCUUUGAGGUCCCACAGGAGAGCAUCUUUUCUCACUUCAAAUGUGGUUAUUUUGCAGCCAAAAGUUGUUUCUUCAUUGAAGUCAUGUCUAAUCAAUUAUGACUACAAUAAUCCCAAAUUAAACUAACUGCCAAACAAUAAAUAAUCCCAAAUUAAACUAACUGCCAAACAAUAAAUAAAUCUACAGUAAAAAAAUUAUCCCAAAUAAUCGUCUACAGUUGUAUUCCUAUAAAUAAACAAAUAACUGCCUAACAAAUUAAACUAACUUUGUCAUUUGAUCAUUUUUUUUUAGUGAGAAUAUACUUUGAUUUUGCUGUCAAACAUUCUCUAGUCUUGUCAUAUCCUAGAGCUGUAUUGCCAUAAUCCAGAAGUAAACUACUGCUUGUAAGGAUAGUGUAAUCAACAAGCCUCAAGAUCAUCGCACCCUUUUUCUUUAGUGAUAUUUCGUUGCGUAAAUUUUUGCAUUUUAAUGUGCAACAUUCAUCAACAUUGUUUGCUCACAUUCUCCUUGUGUUUGAGUUAUAUAUCUUUCAGAAUUAAUGUGUAAUGAUGUUGUGGUUUUCUGACAAAGCUGAUGGCUAGUUGGAACCAAUGUUUUAAAAGAUGAAAGCGUUGGCGGGACGUUUAAUAUCCGUCCCAAUGGGGUGAAAGCCCCAAGGCAUGAGACAUAAGCUUUGUGAAUUUUUGUUUUAAAUAUAUAUAUAUGAUAUAUACUAUAAAAAUUCAUUUGAAGAUAUAAAUAAACAUAAUAAAAUUAAGGAAAUUUAUACGGAUAAAGAAUUGUUAUUGUAUAACUCUGACUAAUAAUUUAAGAAACAUACAUAUUAAUAUUAGCUGCACAAAAAAAAAGAAUAAAUAACAUUACAAAAAUGUCAAUCUUAGAAACAAACUAGUCACAACUUAACAGUCACCACAUUAUCAAGCACAACACAUAAAUUCAAGUAAACACAAACUUCAAAGUUUAAUUGUUUCAAUAAACACACUUAACUAGUAUAAAAAAUAAAAUACCAAGUUAGCAACCAUAUUGCUUAUAAUACAUAACAAGAAAUAAUACCAAUAAUUAGAAACAAACUGACAAAUAAAAUGAUACUACUCAUCAAUGUCAAUAUCAUCCAUGUCAUCAUCUUCAUUUAGUGUAUAUACACUUGGUAAUUUUCUUCCAAUAGUGGUGGUUCUGAAAUUUCCGUCACAUUAUAAUAUCCAAUCUAUAGGUAACAAUCUCUUUUCCUUCAUCUUUCUUGGCUAACCAUAGCUUAUAUUUCAAAUAAAUUCAUAUCAAAUUCACUCAAUGUCUCGAUAUAAUAGAUAGUAAAUUAGUAAUAAAACUGAAUACUAAAAAGUUAAAAAACUUAAUUGAUGAAGUUAAUCUUUUUUUUUUUUUAAAUAAUUUGUGAGGCGUAUGCUUUUAACGCUCUACUUCAGAGGUGCGCUUGAUCUCUUGGGGUACAUUCCUAAAAAUAUUCCCCUUAUGCGAUCACCAAGGGGCAGUAUUGGAACUCCCUGGCUGGAACUCAAACAGGUCAUGAUUCAAUAUUUUGAGAAGAGUAGUCCGAAAGAAAGGAUCAAGUAGUCAUUCUCAUGCUUUUGUCAAAGUAGCAACAAAAAUUUGGUAUAAAGUAUUCUGACGAAGUCAUCAAGAGUACUUCCCCUCAAAUAAUCCUUUCAACCUUGUACCGGCUGCAUUCUCAAAAUGACUUGUAUUAACUGUGGCCAGGUUAUCUCAUCCUACCGGGAAAAAGCAUCCACUGGGGGGACUGCACAGGGGAUUUUUUUUUUUGGCUGCUUUUGAAAUGAAAAUUGGUGAAUAUCCUCAGGACAUUGUUGAUGCUUGUGCUCCACGCCUAGGGCUUCAAGGCUUUGAUUGACAGAUUGCAUCAACAUCUACCAACAACUAUGGAGCAAGACAGUCUUCUGGAAGCCUUUAGGAUUGCAAAACAAUGCUGAAAAUGGUCCCGAUCAUGAACGACAUGCACUGCACCAAGAAAAGUAAUAGGGCAGCUAGAGUUUGGCACGUCAUGAUUCAGCGGUCAUGGUGAAUGAAGGAUGUCUAUGUUAUCUUAAUUCCCUCAGUUUCUUUUGUCUGUUCUUGAAUAGAAAGCAUGUAAUAUGACUGUAUUAGCGCAUAUAGAUUUUGUGAUUGAGUCAUGUACUUGAAGGUAAACCUUUUUUAUAUCAAUCAUAAUCCUCUAUGCUAACAAAUACAAAACAAUCAGUUAAGAAAUUAAAGAAAUUCAUUCGAAGUAGACAAACAACAACACAAAAAAGGAAGGAAGUAGCUAGUAGCAUGAGGAAGGACAAUAGAAAAAAUAAAGUGUCAAAUGCAUUUUACUCCCUAUAGUUUAGAUAUUUUUUCAUAUAAUCUUCUUAUGAUUUCAAAAUCUAUACAUAACUUGUUUGUCGUUUGAACUAAAGUAUCAAAGUGGCAAAAAUAAUCCUCUGUAAUGGAAUCCAUUGAGAUGUUGAGAUUACCUUUGUUUAAAAACUAAAAUGACUGAAGUAACCAAAAUAUAUAAACAUAAUAUGCAUGACACUUUAACCCCUUAUAAUUUUAUAUUUUACCAUAUAAUCCUCUUAUAAUUUAGUGUUUUACCACAUAAACCUCCAUGUAAUUUUCAAAAUAGAUACAUAACCCUCCCGUGAUUAAUAAAGAAAUUCCAAAUUUACAUAAGGAUACUUUUGACAUUUUAGUUGAUUCCAUUAUGGAAUGCAAAUUUUGCCACUUUAACACUUUAAUUAAAAUCAUGAGAGGUUAUGUAUAGCUCUUGAAACUACGGGGGAAAUUAUGUAAAAAUGCACUAAACUAUAGGGGCUAAAGUGUAAUUUACCCAAAAAUAAAUUAAGAGCGUCAAAAAAAGGAAAGGAUGAAAAUAGAAUAAAUCGGCUUAACGCUAAAGUAGUUGAUUGGUAUAUUGUGAUCCCGUUCUAGGCAAAAAAAAAAAAAAAAAAAAAGUGAAAAUGAAAAUGUACAAAACUAGCAGUAUGUGCUAAUAGAUAAAAAUUUAAAUGACUAUGAAAUUUAUUUAUUAUUUUUGCUAGAAAUUAAAAGAAAAUUGAUAUCAUUGAUCUAAAAUUAUUGAAUAUAAAACUUUGUUUUCAAAAUUAUUAAGACACCUCUUAGUUAGUAUAUAUAUGCAAUUAAACUAAAAAAAUUCUAAUAAUUUAAUGUAAUUUUACAACUUAUAGGAUCCUAUUAGGAUCAAAAUCAAACUUAUAAAUGGACCAUAGAAUCAUAAAAUAGUAAUAGGAGCAUUGUGAGAUUAACAACUAAUCAAACAAAGACAUGCUAUAACAUUUGGGAUAACAAAUCUUCUGCAUCAAACACUAACAUGCACGCCAUCACACUGGAGACUUCCGAUGAAUCAAGCAAGUAAAGUAAUGACUUGAUGAAUUUGUAGUUAAAAUCCAAAGGCAAGAUGAUUUGUAGUUUACUAGUUUGUAAUGAUAAGACAAUAGUUUAAUCAAGUACAAACUUGGAUAUUAGUUUGGGGAAGUUUGUGCUCAGUUAUGAUAGCAAUAGCAAUCGAGUUGAAUUUAUAAUUGUGAUAUGUGCAGUAAUUGAAGAUAGUUUAUAGCUUGUAAUUAGUUUGGUGAUCUGACGUGGACUGUACAGGAUAAUUGCAAUAUUCUGGCUGUGGGUUUUUUUUUUUUUUUUGAGAAAUAUUAUGAGCACUCCCACUUUUGUUAACAAAAUGCUUCUACUUUCCAUUUUUUCUCACCAAGAGAUCAUUGUGUCCCUACUGGACAUUCUUUAUCCUGCCUAAUUCUAAUAUGGUCCUAGAAAACUGGGCAUAGAAGAAGGUUAGACGAUGAUAGAUUAGUUUCUUUGGUGAGACAAAAUAGGUAAUUGGACUGUGGUUCACCGAAAACGGAGUGUUAAUAACAUUCCCCCCUUUUUUUUUAUCCACAUAACUAAAGGAUAUAAGAUAGGCCAAAAGUUAUCCUUAUAGGUUAAAUGCCAUCCACCAGUUCUCACAUGUCAGGCUAUUGUUAAUGAUGUAGUUUUCUGAAAUUUUGUAGAAAGAUGUUAUAUGUGAGAUAAGGAGGGAGAUAAAUGAUGUGUUUACCGAAAACGUAAAAUAAGUGAAUUGUUUAUCACUUAUUUUUAAAAUAAAUUUUAUCUUGAAAAUUUAAUAUUAUUUAAUUAAUUGAAAUAUUUUAUUUUUGAUUAUCAAAUGCAUUUGAACAUAUUAAAAUUUGAAUACAUUAAAUUUAAGUGUUAAAUUGCAUAUUUGUAGGGCUGUACUAGGUACCCACAACUUGUUCUCGCUGAUCAAGGCUGUCCAAUACUCCAAGUACGAGACAGGGUACCUUCAAAAGGUCAAAAAAACUAAUUUACACUUCAUCCAAUGUACGCAUGAUACAAUUUUUAAUGUACAUAGGGAAACUUAAAUAAUUAUGGAUAAAAAAUAAAAAAGCCCCCUGUGGUAAAUCUAAUAUACAAAAAAGUCCCCAAUGGUUUCAAAAUAUACAAUACGACUCCUCAUGCUUUGAACUAAAUUGUAAAGGUGACGGAAUCCGUUAAACUUAACGGAAAUGGACGAAAUGACCAAAAUGCCCUGAUAUAAUUAAGCAAAAGACUGCUCAAAAAAACCAUUUGUUUUAUUCUCUAAAUAGAGAGAAUUAAGGGCUAAGGGGUAGAAUAGGUAAUUUGAUAAAAAUUAGGUAUGAAAUUUUUUUUUAGGUUCCAAUAAAUCAUUUCCGUUAAGUUUAACGGAUUCCGUCACCUUUACAAUUUAGUUCAAAGCAUGAGGUGUCGUAUUGUAUAUUUUGAAACCAUAGGGGGCUUUUUUGUUUUUUACCCAAUAAUUAUUCCAACGCUAGCACCACAAAUUUCUUCCCUCUGAUCAAAGCUAGGCUAAUUCCUUUGUUUAUUGCCAAAAAAGAAAAAAUUGCAAGAAAAUGGUCUAACAUGAUCGAAGUAUAGAACUAUGCCUGCCGGGCUGAUUAUGCUCUAUAGGCAAGCCUUUUUUUUUUUUUUUAAUCAUACCCAGCUGCAAUAUUUUUAAAAAAAAAUUAUGAUGACUACCAGUUUGACACAGGUAGACAACCAUCAUCAAAAAAGGAAAAAAUUUGCAAGCAAUAAAUAUUAUUUAACUUUUCAGCUCUUUUCUUUAUUUAUCUCAUGGAGAAACUAUUUAUCAAGGGAUGCGUCCAAUCUUACUACCUUCCAGGAAGGCUCCUGUGACAUGCAAUUUGUAAUCAUCUCUUUUAGGGCAAGGGUUGCAUAUACAGCAAGAGCUCUGGCUACAGUUACUACGAUCUUGAGGAUGUCAACUGGAUCAACCGUAUCUCACCUUUUUAUCUCACAUACAUCACAUCACAAAAAAUGCUACAGUAAUUAUCUCAAAUAAAUCAUCCAAACAAACAAAUUGAUGUCUUCUUUCCUUAAGAAAUUUGUUUCAAAUAUUAGUUUGGAGGGAAAGUUUGGAAGACUUGAAAUCUAAUUUUUAGUUUCAUGGUUGAAUUAGGAAACUUGAAAUACUUUCUUUUGAGGUUUAUUUCUAUUUAGGAGACUAGUUUUAUUUGGUAGUAGAUUUCAAUUAGGAAACUAAGUAGAAAAAGAAAGCCAGAUUUCUGUGUGAUUAGGAGGGAGCCAACAACGUUUUCGGGGAUUCUUAUUAUCUUUGCAAUUGGGAUCCUCUAUUCCACUACUCGGUGUCAAAUUCGGUACCAAUCCCACUUAUCACGUGAUGGUAGAAGAAAUUUAAAUAAAUAGCACAUGACAAAUUAAAUAAACAGGACACUUGGUAUAAAUAUAGAAAUGACACUGAAUUGCAACUGGAAAAAUGGCAUUAAGGAUCCCGUGUGUUAUCUUUGCGGGGUCGGCCUCAAAGUGGAGAACGGCAGAGCCAUUUUGGUCCAAUCUUUUGUUCUCUCCAGUUUUUCUCUUAUCAAAGACUAAUGCGGCUAGCUUUGGAAAAAUGGUGUGAAUUGCUUCAAUUGGCUAUGCGUAAUGAUAAGUGACUAAUUUACGUAAUAAUUGUAUGAUAUUUCAUAUUAUUUUUAGUCACUUUAUUUAUAUUAUUGGAAGAAAAUGAAUCAUUUUGGCUAUAAUUGGUGAAAAAUGCUUUUAAGUGAUUAAAUGAGGCUUUUAUCACUUUUUAGUGGAAUUUUGCGCAUUUUGACAGUUUUGACACAUCUUCGUAUUUUGGCUAUAACUUGAGCUACAAUGAUCGGAUUGAGAUGAUUCUUAAACCAAUUUGAAGAUAAGAGAUAGAUCUACAACUUUGGUGAAGACAUCUGAAUCCAGUUUGAAGGUUUUCCAAGUCAAAAAUCCGAAGUACAGUAGCCAAUUUCAUUUGGUCGAAGCUGAAACAGGGCAAUGAGCAGGCAAGGGUAUUUCGGUCAUAUCUCAGCCUACACAGAUCCAAAUGAGGUGAUUCUUGAUGCAUUGGAAAGAUAACUCAAAAGGCUACAACUUUUGUGUUUUAUACAUGAGCUGGUUCAGCCUCUAACAUCAAGAAAAGAUCGGUUGAAGUUGGGCCAAAAACAGAGCAAGUGAUCCGCACUCGGAUCCACUAUUCAUCCGAACCCUCGGCUGUUUCUGGGUAAGUGGAACCGAGUUUGGAUCCAUACGGAUCCGAGGUACCGUAGCAGCUCGGAUCACUGUAGUAGCCCAGAUUUACUAUAGCAAUCCGGCCGGAACUUGGCCGGAUUUAGAGCCGGAUUUCUGGCCGGAUUGCGGUCAGAAAAGGCUGCUCUGUACGCGUAAAACUCAAUUUCACUCCCACCAACUCACAUGCGAUGCUAGACAUGUGAGAAACAUUACCAGCUGUAAGGAGAAAGUGUAAAGUUUCAUUUCUUGACCAAUGUUCAUCAUUAAAUAGCCAAAUUCAUUGCAAGACAAGGGGAUUGGAGAUCCAACAAUAGAAUAGAGAGAGAUACGGGAGAAGCUUGAAGUUGCAGAAAUGUAGCUCUUUCAUCUCCCUAGUGUUAGUUUAGCUUAGUAUAGAGUAAUAUAGUUUGUCCAUUCUUGUUUAUUAUCUAGAUUAGGAUGAAGAUGGAGGAUGAAGAAGGCAAGGAAGAAAGCUCAUGUGACAAGGGUUGUAUUUCUUCCAAACUCUUUAUCUUUUGUACUUGAUUCCAAAUUUAGUUAAUAUACAAGUUCUGAAUUUUGUGUUUAUUAUGCAUCUCUAAAGUUUAUACCUUGGGUUUGGUUGAACUUUCUAUAAUUGUUAGUGUUUAUUAUUUAGUUAUUUGAUUGCUAUGAUUUGAGCAAGUUAUUUAGCACUUUGGCUCUCUAAAUCAUGAUUAAUCUGGUACGAUUGAUUGUGAUUAUCUAAGGUGUUGUUUCUGCAGUGAAAAUUGAGAUUUAACACUAGUUCAAGAAGUGCUAAACAUAGGGAGUACACUCACGAAAGUAGAGGUGCAUCUAUGUGGUUUUUAGUGAUUCAUUUCAUGUAAUUUCACUGAAGAAAUGAACUUGUAGCUAAUUUCAUAACCAUGAGAAUAGGUAUGAAUUAGUUAUAAGUAUAAUUGAUUCACUACGAAAGUAGGAUUCAAAUGCAUAAGGAAAUUACACCAUAACUAGCCUAGAUGUAGUACUCAAUGAUCCAAAUAUAGCACUUGCAUGAGUAGUUAGGGAUACCACAACCUAAGGAGCUUUUAUUUGUUAUUUUGUAUAAUUUCAGUAGGUUAAAUUUGUUAUAAUUCAUUGAUAGUCUAAAUAAUAAAGAAGUUUUAGUAAUACCGGUAAUUGUUCACUCUUCCCUGUGGGAUCGACCCGAUAUAUACCCUAAACUACUAGUUGACCUGUAUACUUGCAGUGAACGGGUAUAAUUCGGUUUUUUUUAACUUGUAUGUAUGUAAAAUACCCGUCACGUAACUAAGUUCCUUUUCUAGUCGAAGGUCAAUUUGAGGAGUCAGUUCCAAACAUCUGUGAGAUCGAAUUAUUUUACUUAUUUCUUUUAUUCAUUGGUAUUUGUACAUUUUCUGAUUUAACUUAUUAUGAUUGUUAUGUUAUUUGAAUGUCAAGGGCUCGAUAUUCGAAUUAACCUAAUAAUCUACUGUCAGAUUAAUUGAUUGAAUCCAUAAUUGUUCAAUUGGUUAAUACCAGUGGCGACUAGCGUGAUUGGUUUCAUGUUAGGGAAACGUAUAAUCUAACUUAAAUGAACCCUCGUAGCAUGUUUGUUGGUUAGAAUUGGGCUUUUCUAAUUCUUAUUGCAAUCAAGAAAUUAAAUCUUAUGGUCAUACUUAGGGUUAUUUCUUGGUUAGGAAAAUAGUUAAUGGUCGUACCUUGACUAUCGAAAAAGUAUGGAAAGGUUGGUUGUUUAUCGCGUGUAUGACAACUAUAACUAAUCUAUUAAUGAGUAAUUGAAUUAUCUUUGCAUCGAUGAUUAGUUGAAUGGACUGUGUCUGAAAAGUUGCACCUUUGACUAAAGUCGUAUUGGUUAUUGAUUAACUCCUAUUUAUUUCUAUUAGUCGUUUUAUUAGUUGGUUAAUUAGUUGGGGGAAGGAUGGGUUGGGUGGUACGGGGGGAGGGAGUGUAAGCGUGAGGUCUCGGGUUCGAGUCAUCUUACUUGCACUAAAAAAAAAGAGUUAGUUAAUUAGUUAUUUUAUAUUUUCUAAAAAUCCCCCUUAUUCUGAACUCUAGAAGAAACGAAUUAUCCUCAAUCCCUGUAGAUUCGACCCUACCUGCCACUGUCUAUGAGUUAAUAAUUUUCUGUCAACGAGUCAAUUCUGGUAUAUCGGAUUAAGCAAACUCUUCGGAGCUAAGGUGAAUCAAGUAACCCAUUGCACAUCUAGAGUCCCUGCUCUAGUACCUGGGAUUGAUUGUUGACUGAUUUUGGUGGUAGUUAGGUUUUUAUUAUUGCACAGGCUCGACACCUGUCACUUGUUCCCGACUUUUUCAGUGACAGUAGCAAUGGGAAUGGGCUUAAGAUUUUUGUGACAAAUGUCAAAAAUUUUUCUCCUAUUCUCUCUCUCUCCAACCAUCUUCUACGCUUCUAUCUCCCUGAGUCCUUCUACCUCUCCCGCCCUAUCAGUCUCGUCGUCUGAAUCUUGGAUAAAUUGGGUUACCCACUAUCAUAAAAGAAACAAAAAUGAAGAUUGCUUCUCCUUUUAAACUGCUAGCACUCCCCUUCCCAAAAAUUCUUGGCAUCAUCAUCAUCGGCGAGGUUUUUUUUAAUUACUUGAUUGUACUUUUUAGGGUGUUGUAGGUGGAAGGUUGUGUGUUUCUUUGAUGUUCCUCAAAGAUGACUCCGGAUCAGAGUGAGUGUUUUCCAUGAUUUUUCCCAUCUCUGAGACUCUCAAUUCUUUUUCUCAUCUACCUUUGCAUUUUUUUAUUUGUUUAAUUCAUGUUUCCAAUUUCUUUUUUAUUUUUAUUUUUGUAUCUUAUGUUUCAUUUUUUGACAGUGAAUACUGAAUAUGUUCAACUCUCGUUUAGUUGCUUGAGCUCCUAUUUUGUUCCUUUUACGUUUUAGUUAGUUCUAAAAUAAUCAACGCUCUUGGUUCUUGAUGUUAGAAAAUUGGCUUAAUUUCUUUUAGGUAGAUUUCUUGUUUUGUUUGGAAAUAACUAGUUUCCUAAUUGAUUUUAGUUACUAGUAGUAGUCAAAGAAUAAUCUAUUUAGUUUUGGAUUAGAAGUUAUUUCCUAUUCUGUGCAAGUUUAGAAAUUAGAAUUGGUUUCUUAUUGUUAUUUGGGUUUUGGCCAAAUAAUAUUCCCUAUAAAUAAGUUGGAUGACAUACUACACAAGGUACAUAUAAGGGCACACAAGGGCAACAUGUAGCUAGGGGUGGCAAUUCCGGCACGACACGAACCUAACAUGAAAUUAAUGGGUUUGGGUUAGGGUUUCACAAGUUUGGGUCAGAAUCAGGUCAAACCUGAUGAACCCGAAAAGAAAAUGGGUCGAAUUCAUGUCAACUCGUGGGUAACCUGAUAUGACCCGUUUACGAAUUAAAAUAAUUUAAUAAACAUAAAAAUUAUUUUAUCUAACUAAACUAAGUUACUCUUUUUUUCCAAAGGCAUUAAUCACUUAAUUCUAAAUGAAUUUAUUUAACUUGUGUGAAGUUGAAAUUAUUAUAUUUGGACAAAUAAUGUAUUAUAUUAUUUUUUACUUUUAUACUGUUUUAAUUUAUUUUAGAUUUGGUUUGGGAUUAUUUAUUUAAAAUUUUAUUACUUGAUUAUGUAAUUAGUUUUGUGCGAAAUUGAUUUUAUUAGAAAUUACAGUGGUAAAUUAAUAAAUUAAAAUUAAGUUUUGGGUCAUUUCGAGUCGACCCGCCAACCCGAAAUUUUCGGAUUCGUGUCAAGUAUUCUGACCCGUUUCGGGUUGCCUUUCUGUUAUACUCGGGUUUCAACCCGACCCGCCAAUCCGAUUUGGACCCGAUUGCUGCCCUUACAUGUAGCCUUAUACAUGGGGUGUGAGAGAAGGUUCUUGGGAGUUAAGAGAUGGUAUACAAGGGUUGGAUUUGGGUUCAAAUUGUAUUCUUGUAUAAGAUUUUCCUCUCAUAAUAAAGAACGGAUUUCUCUCUGUGGACGUAGGCUCAAUGGUGGAGUCGAACUGCGUUAAAUAUUGUGUAUCAUUUAUCUUUCAUGCUUGUGGCUUGUUUGCCAUUAAAUUGUUGUAUACUUAAUAUCUUAAUAGUUGUUUAUUAUGCACUUGGAUCCUAACACUUGAUCUGGCUUUCACUUGUUAAGUUAUUGCGUGAUCCAUUUUUUUUUCAACCUUUUUGAUCAUUCUUCCCUCAUGAUGGCUGCUAAAGCACUUAUGAGUGAGGCAAUUUUUCUCACAGGAAAGAAAACGGAUAUGACUUUAAGUUGUGCAUGUUAGCAAUUCUACCCCGAAUUGUCAUGUAGUUGUUUGAUCAAAUGUAUACAAGGAAUCCACGUGUUAUUAACCUUCAUAACUGAUAUGUAAAAGUUAGUACUAGAAAUUUGGAAUUUAUACUCCUUUAUUUCCUUACUAAACAAUUAAUAAUAGUUAGUUUUCUAGCAUGUAUCAUAUAACUUAUGCUUGGCGGCAAUGACGGAGCCAAGGGGGGGCAGAGGGGGGCCAUGGCCCCCCCUAAGUUUUGAGAAUUUUAAUUCAUAAUAUGUAAAUAUGUGUGUAAAAUAAAAUUAGCCCCCCCUAAAUUUUUUCAAUUUUAGUUUAUAUUAUGAGAGAUGAUAUAUAUAUAUAUAUAUGAAUUAGUCAUCUUUGAAUGGAAUGGCCUGCAAGCUUUAAUUUGCCAUGAAUGUCCAUAUGCCUAUUACAUUCAUUGUUUGGCUCAUAGGUUUCAACUUGCUUUAGUUGCAGUUUCUAGAGAAGUAGUUUCUGUUCACCAAUUCUUCUCCAAUUUAGUUUUCAUUAUCAACAUUGUUACUGCAUCUAACAAACGUAAUGAUGAAUUAAAGGAGGCUCAAGCAAUUGAAGUUGCUACUAAGAUUGCUAAUGGUGAACUUGAAACUGGAAGGGAGCUUAAUCAAAUUGGCACUUUAAAACGAACUGGAGAUACUCGUUGGGGUUCUCAUUUGGAUUCUAUUUCUAGUUUACUGAAAAUGUUCAAUGCUACUUGUGUGGUUUUAAGUAACAUUGCAGUAGAUGGAGGUUCAUACUCUUAACGUGGAGAUGCAAAUUUUGCUUUGAAUCAGUUGUUAUCCUUUAAGUUUGUUUUCACUUUGCAUCUUAUGAAAGACAUUAUGGAAAUUACUCAUCUUCUUUAUAUAGCAUUACAACAUAAAUCUCAAGAUAUUUUGAAUGCAAUGCAUCUUGUCUCAAGCACAACAAAGCUACUGAAGACUUUUCGAGAUUCGGGAUGGGAUGAUUUCUUGGUGAAAGUUAAAUUAUUUUGUGAGCAACAUCAAAUUGAUAUCCCAUGUAUGAAUGCUCAAUAUAUUGCAAGACGUGGUAGAUCUCGAAGUCAUCAUGAUGAGAUUAGUGUGGGGCAUUAUUAUCGAGUGGAUAUAUUUCUUGCAACAAUUGAUUAUCAAUUGCAAGAGUUACAUAGCAGGUUUAAUGAUCAUACCGUGGAAUUGCUUAUUUUGAGCACUGCUUUAGAUCCUAGAAAUGGAUUUAUGCUGUUCAAGAUUGAUGAUAUUUGUAAACUUGCAGAGAAGUUCUAUCCAAAUGAUUUUAUGGAGCAAGAACUAGUACGUCUAAGAAUAGAACUUCAACAUUUUGAGCUGGACAUUCCAAAUCAUCAUGAAUUGCAAGAAUUAUCUGGUAUUAAUGAGUUAUGUCAAGGCUUGGUGAAGACAAAAAAAUCAGUGAUAUAUCCUGUUAUUGAUAGAUUGAUUCGACUUGUUCUUACUCUUCCUGUAUCAACUGCAACUUCAGAGCGGGCAUUUUCAAUUAUGAAAAUAAUCAAGACAAAGCUCCAAAACAAGAUGGAAGAUAAUUUCUUGAAUGAUUGUCUAACUGUGUAUAUAGAAAGAAGGUUGCUGAAAAAUUUAGCAGUGAUUCAAUCAUAGAUGAAUUUAGUUUUAUGAAAGAGUUUAGAGCUCAAUUUACUUCUAAGAAAAGAUGUUGAAAUUUCAAAGUAUGCUAACAUAACUUUUAUCUUUUUUUAAUUGAAAAUAGUUACAUUUAUAUUACAAGGUUAUAUAUAUAUAUAUAUAUUGCAUAGGUGACAUAUUGGAGAGCAUCUUCUCAUAAUGUGCAAAUUGGAUGGUUUGUGAUGUUAUAAGAUAUUUAAUCAAAGGGUAUCUUUUUUGUUAAUUUUUGUUAUGACUGUACGGUAUAUUUAUGAAUAGACAUGCCUUUAUAAUUAAAUUUAAUAUUUGAUAGUUUUAGAUGUUAUAUAUUUAAAUAGAAGAAAAUUAUUUUGAACAUAAUAAUUAAGAUAAUUUUAUUAGGAAAAAAUUUUGGCCCCCCCAAAAAAAAAAUCCUGGCUCCGUCACUGCUUGGCGGGUUUUCUUUGGAAGUUGAUGUUAAGGUAUAAUUUGUUUAUUAUCUUUCAUUUACCGAUCACCAAAUAGCUUGAGACAUUGGACCUUUCCAAUCAGUCAAUGUAAACAUCGCUGGUCUUGGGGUCUUCGGAGUUAUUCACUUUUUCUUGUUUUAAUUGGCUUUAUUCCAUAUUGGUGUAAAACUUUUCUGGUAAUGAAAAUAUAUUGAAAUUGUAUGGUUGCUUGCACAAAAGACAAAGUUUUGGGAAUGACUAUUGAUUUUUUUCAAGGAAGGUAGCUUGUCAAAAUUUUAUGCCUCUAUUCAUCUUCAAAGAAAUGUUUGGCCUUGCUUUAGCUGGAAAAGAGAUUGUCAGUGAUAAUUUUGUUGCAAGAUCACAAUCUAAAAUAUUCUUCAAAAAAGAUGUUUUUACAGUGAUGUUGAAUUGCAUGAGCCCCUGCAAAAAAUGGAAAGUUAAGAAGGUUAUUUUGAAGAUGAUGUUACUGUUAUUUGGGAUAUUUAAGAGGAUUGGUCAUAUCCUUUGAGAGAAAUUUUAUUGCUAUAUUCUGGUCUUUAGCAACAUUUUUCUCUCUGUACUAUGAAAGCACUACCAUCUCAUUCACUUAUGUUUUCAUGGAAGAUUUAUGUCAUUCUUGACCUUUUGUGGACAGAUUAUUAUUUUAUGGUGAUUGUAUAUUUUCCAAAUGAAAUCCACUUUUCUCCCCCAUUGUGUACUUGACUCGGCAAAGAAAACAAAAAGAAAAGAAAUCAAAUUCUGAUUUAAUUUGCACUCUGUGCCAUGCAAAGCUUCUUUGCUUGCUAUCCUUACAGCCGGAGACAAUAUUGCAUGUGACAAAAUAGCUAUUUCUGUUCCCAAGGAGGUUGCUAUGUCUGCUUUGCAUUUCAUUUUUCAUUUUUCUGCUAUGAACAAAAACAAGUUAUAUAUUUCAAACUGAUUGUGGCUUUUCGUACUUGAUUUACGUUUUCCAAAAGUUGGUAGUAACAAGCAUAUUCAUGUUAUAUGGAACACAAUUAUGGGUAUAAUUAUUGUUAACUUUCAACUAAUAAUCUUAUGAAUGCUUAUAUACACUUGUUCAUACAGCACCCCAAUGGAAAAUGAAAAAAAAAAAAAAAAACGGCUUCGUGCAAGAUAUUUUUAUCUCACUGUCUCAUUUUUUAAAAAGUGCCUCCUCUAAGGUCAUCUUAAAACCUGUACCCUGAUUCUAAAAGGGUUGUUGACGAGGAUUGAUCAUAUACAUAACUAGAUGAUUUUUUUUUUGUUUUAACAAAGUUUCGUGUUGACAAAGCAAAACAAAAAACAUAGGCGUUCUGUUUAUCCCUAGCCAUCAAUGUACAUGUAUGAACCAUAUUGUAGCUUUAAUUGAAACUCUAAGUUCUAUGCUAAACACGAUAGCUAUAGCUAAAGAAUUCUAUUUUAACCAUAAUGGUUCAGCAUUGGAGAAGCUUCUGGUUUACAUCUAUUACUUAUUUCUUGUAUAAUAUUUUUAAGUGGUGAAUGAUUAGUAAAGUUUUCUUGUUAAUUGUGUAGCCAUGUGUAGACUUCGUAGCAAAAGUAGUUGGAGUAACUUCGAAAAGGAAAAAUUUUGGUGUUGCAGAUUAAAUUGCAUCCCAAGAUUGUUAAUGAUAUUGAAAGUGUUUUAAAGAAGUAACAAGUCUUACAUGGUAUAUCAAUGUGUCUGCUAUGUACAAGCAAUAUUAGUGCUGAAAUUGCUAGCAAGUUUGUUGCUUUUUUACUAAGAAACAAUCAUAGAGUUUGCAUCGGUUCAACAAUCUACUUAUUUCACUUUGAGGUGACCUUAUGGUAGAUCCCACAACAUGAUGUCUUAAAAAUUUUCUUCUUCUUAUAUUUGGCUGUCAGUUAUUCUCAUACUUUUAAUGGAAGAAGGUGCAAUUUGCUUGUUGUUUUCUUCUGAAUCUUUUAGAUUUAUUUAUUAUCAUUAAGUAUACUACAUUUGGAAAGCCAUCAAAUAAUGAUUAAGAGAAGGGGGAAUAAGGGAUAAAAAAUGCUCUAGGUAUCAUAAUUGAUUUUGAUAAAUAAUUUGGAACUUUUUAAAGAAGAUUUGAGCCUAAAGUCCAACAUCUGUAUUUGUACUUUCUGUCAUUCUACAUUAGAGUGUAUUUUUUUGGCAUACUAAUGCAACAAAAUUCAUAUUUUCGUAUGUGGUGUAGUUUUUUGAGACUUAAGAGUGCUUGCAAAUUUGCAAUCUAUCAUCUCAAAGGAAAGCAAAAUGGUUAUAGGAAUAUUAUCUUAUUCCUAUUUUUGUUAUUAUUUGCACUCCAUGUAAUUUACUUACGCAGAACAAAUAGAAUGGAGGACGCUUUGGAGUAUGUGGGAGUUAAAUUAGUGAUGCAGGACAGUGCAACGGUUUUGUUCGAUCUCUAAUUUGACCUAUUUUUUACUAUUGUCUACAUUAAUCUCUUUAAUUCAAUUUAUCAAAGUUAAAGGUGACUUUGCUAUCGCUAUCAAUUGCUUUGAAAAUUGCCAUUAUUAUGUCAAAGCAAUUUAAAAUGUUCCAUUUUCACUUUUCAUUGGAUUUUUUUUCAGGAUGAAACCUAUUCAACUCUCACAUGGUGAUAGAGAAAAACACCUCGAAAGAGUCUAUCAAAGAGUUCAAUAUGUAAGUCAGGAACCCAACUCUGACCCAAAAACUUAACCUAUUAGGUUUUGGACCCUUAGUUACAUAUUAACAGCUCUGUCUCCAUCUCUCGGACCAAUGUGGGAUAUAACCUUUUACUCAUAAACUUAACACAUGGGAUUUGAGAAAACUACCAAAACGCUUGUUUCAGAACUGAUAUUGGCGUCAGAAAGGCAAUAUGCCAUCUUUGUACUAUUGCAAGUAGAAAAAUCAUUUUAAGUUUUAAAUUUCUGAUGAUUGUAGGUUUGCUGGUCAUGACUUUGCAAAUGUUGCUAUUGUUAGUGCAAGAAAUGAUUUUGCAAUAGGAAACGGUGCUUCUGACUCUUUUGAAAAGUAGGAAGUAAAUUAAUAAGAAGUGAAAAAUGGAUCUAUAGUGAAAAUAGCCUGCGCACUGUAGAGGGGAUGGAAUUUGAUCGUGGAUAUUUUUUCUCCUUGACAUGAUUGGAGUUUUGGAUUUCAUAUUUGUAUCUGAUGGUAUGUGGUAUUUAAGAUAGGAAACCUCUGUAUUCGCAAUUGCUUUUGGUUGCCUAAAACAUCGCAUAGUUCAAGGAUAUUUUGAAACGAUACUAGGAAGUCUCCAAUUGUGAUAGUUGCAUACAACAUUGAAGAGGAAGUUCCGACUCCAUCGUUAAUAGUCCCUUGCUAUUAGAGGUCUUGCCUUCCUUGAGCGCUACUAUCUCUUGAUAGGAAAGAAUGACAGAAGAAUGCUUGAAGCUAGAAUUUACCACAUUCUUUCAUUCUGAUGACAUUUUUUAUUGCAAUUUCAAUUAGUUAAAUUUACUAGAUGGCAGAUUAUGGAAAAAAAAAAAAGAUAGAUUACAACCUUAAAUUCACAUUCUAGCACCAAUUCUUCUUGGAUUUUGAAUUGUAUCUCCAGUUUAAGAAUUUGUCUUCUUCAAUCUUAUCUAAUUCCAAAAUGUUGUAAAUUAUAUCACUUAUAAAAAUUUUCCUAAUAUGUGAACAAUCAAGGCAAAUGUAAUAAGCUAACAUAACAUUGUUAUUGAAAUUGAAGUUGGCAUGUAUUUGCAACUUACUUUAAUAGUUAUAUUAUUUAGCUUUCUCUUAGUGUUUUCCUCCUUUUAUUUUGUAUCAGAAUAAUCUCAUUCGGCGGGGCACGCCAAUCUCCUAUAAUCUCACCGCAACGCGUGGUGUUGACCCUCCUGGUCCAACGACUAAUCGCAAAGGGCACCAAAUAAAUAAUAAUUAAUAAUUAAUCUAACACUCCACACAUUUUUUAAAUGCUGAUCAAGGAUCCAGCUGUCCAAGAAUGGGACAGAGAUCACCAACUCCAUUAAAUUAAACUAAAGAGAAGGAAAGGAAAUAGCGACUUCAAUACCCUUUUUUUAAAAUUAUUUUGUACCGAUAUAAGAGUAUGGAAAAAAACAAAAGAAGUUUCUAGUUAGCUAAUUAACAUAGAGGGCUCAUUUAGCUUUCUUUUUUGUGAAUAUGGCUUAGCAUAGCUUUCCCUUUUGUCUUGCUUAGCACAUAGGCCAUAGAAUUUGCUGGCAUACUUGUUAGAUUUAUCUCACAUCAAUUGUGAAAUAAAUAGGUUGUUUGAUUACAAUUGAUUGACGCGCACAGGAUCAAUCGUGGUAAUAAUUUAUCAUUUGCGAAGUUGCGAGUUGCUGCAAGCACACCGGGUAAAAGACCAUUUGAUCCAUUUUUUGCAUGUAUUGAAACAUCAUCUCUUCCAUAUUAGGUCUCUUCUCUUGGACUGGUUGAGGAGGAUAUUGCGAUUUUUGCUGCUAGCCUUGAAAUUCCGGUGAUUACACAGGUUGCUCCCUCCAUCAACCUCCAUGAUAAAUUAGGGUGAUUAUACCACCCUGGAUUAUAAGUGUUAGAGAAGGAAUCAUUCCGUUGCUAAAUCCUUUGACCACCGUAAAAUUCACAUCCUCCACCAUAGAUGGGGUGUUUCUAUUGUAACAACCAGCGGCAGCGUGUCCAUACAUGUUGCAAUACGAGCAUGGCUUAGGAGACUAAGAUUCACCCUUUAACAUUGACUGCAUUUGUUGCAUUUGUCGAGUUAACUCAGCCAAUUGAGCGCCCAUAUCUUUAUUAGUUGACACUUCAUGCACACUUGCUCUUUUACCCCGACUUGCUUUUUGUUGCAAGUUGCUGGAUAGCAUCUCAUAAAUAGCAACCAUUUCCUCCGGAGUUUUAUCCCUGAAAUACCCUCCAGCAUCAAAGUUGACCAUGUCUGGGUUGUAAAGGAUGGUCAACCCGUCAUAGAAAAACUGGAUUUGCAACGCCAAAGAGCACUAGUGAUGAGGGCAUUGACUCAAAAGCAGCUUAAAUCUUUCCCAUGCUUUGUGAAUUGGCUUCCCCUCCAUAUGAGAAAAUGAACGGAUCUUAUUCCUCAAGUCAAUUGUCUUUUGUGCCGAGCAAUACUUGGUCAUAAAGAUGUUAUACACAUCUUUCCAAGUUCUCAAUGUACCUUGUGGUAAAUUCAAGAGUCAGGAUUUUGCACGGCCCUUGAGACAGUAUGAGAAGCAUCUCAUCUGCAAGUCAUCUUCAGAUAUAUCAAUGAAAGGAAAAAAUCCUUGCAGAAGGGAUUAGAGUUGUUUAACCAAGGCAUCAUGUGGAAUGUCAGAAAUGGGGAGGAAAUUCUUCUGUGGUGGGAUGACUGGACCGGUAGAGGCCCCCUUAGAUCAAUGAUCUCUGGGCCACUCACCCAAGCAGAAACCAAAAUGAAAAUCAAGCAAAUUUUUGGAGAAUUUGAUGCUUGGGAUUUUUCUUCUCUCUCUUUUGAACUCCCGGACAAUAUUUGCAGAUUCAUUCAAAGCAUCCCAAGGCAGUUAAUGAGUAAUCAAUCUGAUACUCUAAGAUGGAAAACCAACCCAAAUGGAUCUUUCUCUGCCAAAUCUGCCCUUCUAAUUUUGGAGCAGGAUCUAAAGAAAAAGCCCCCUCAAGGGGAUUUUGAACUAUGGUCUUGGGUUUGGAAGGUCAAAACAAAGUCCAAGGUUAAACAUUUCCUUUGGCUAGCUUGCCAAAAUAGACUGCCUUCUAAGGCACUUCUCCUUAAGAGAAAUAUCAUUUCUGACUCUUUUUGCCCUCGCUGCAACCAUUCCUGUGAAGACUCAGCUCAUGUUCUUAGAUAUUGCCCACAUGCUUCCUCCUUUUGGCAAAGCCUCAACAUUCCCACUUCCUUUGAUCUGGAUUUUACAGUUUGGCUUAAAAAUGGUUGUCUGUCCAAGCAUAUUUCUCCAUUUUAUGGAAUCCCCUGGGGUACUGUUAUCUCUUUUGCCUGCUGGAAUCUUUGGAUUGCCAGAAACAAGGCUAUUUUUGAACCAUCUAACCUCUUCUCCAUUCUGCACAAUACUCUAGCAAUGGUGGCUGAAUACUCCUUUUUAGGACCUAUUCAGAACAUAGUACAUCCUAGAACAGAAGUGCUCAUUAACUGGAUUCCCCCUGAACCUUCCUGUUUCAAAAUCAACACUGAUGGAUCUUCCAUAGGGAAUUCGGGUCCAGCUGGAUCAGGUGGCUUGAUCAGAAAUCACCUAGGACACUGGAUAGCUGGGUUUAGCAGAAAAUUGGGACAUGCUACCAAUAUUCUUGCUGAGUUGUGGGGGAUAAGGGAUGGACUAUCCUUAGCUUCCUCUCUAAACUUGCAAAAUGUUGAAUUAGAAGUUGAUGCUAAAACUGCUCUAGACUUGCUUAAAUCGGCAGAUACCUCAACUCAUGAGUAUGCUUCAAUUAUCUCUGAUUGCAGGUUCCUGAUCUCUGCCCUGCCGAAAGUCAUACUUAGACAUGCUUAUCGAGAAGCAAACCAGUGUGCUGACAGAUUGGUAAAACUGGGUGCUCAACAAGACGUUAAUUUUGUAUGCUAUGAAAGUAUUCCUUAUGCUUUGAGAAGUCUAGUAGAUGCAGAUCUUAAGGGAAUUUGUUUCCCUCGUUUUGUACCUAUAACUUAAGUUUGUUUUAAUAUAUAGUCCCUUUUAUUACCAAAAAAAAAAAAAGGAAAAGUCAGGACCACAGAAUAAAUUUCAUGUUUAUUUACGUUUAAAAUAUGACCACUGGUAAGGAUUUAGCAUUUUGAUGGAAAUAAAAGUAAAAAAAAAAAUAAUAAUAAUAAUAACACACAGGUAGUAGUGGAUCAUAGCUGUCCAAGAGUACGAGAACUUCAUUUGUUUUUUUAAAUGACUAGUGGAUCGUAGAAUAUUAUUUACGUUUUUUAAAUGGCUAAUGGAUUAGUUCAGAAUUGAGUCGAGUAUAGUUUUCCUCUGUACUCUUAUAUCGAUACAAAAUUAUUUAAAAAAAAAAAAAAAAAGGUAUUCAAGUCGCUAUUUGCUUUCUUUCUCUUUAGUUUAAUUUAAUCGAGUUGGUGAUCUCUGGCUCAUCUCGGACAGCUAGAAUGUUUAUUAUUACUUUUUGUAUCCUCAAAAAGCUGGAUCCUUGAUCUGCAUGAAAAAAAAUGUGUGGUGUGUUAGAUUAAUUAUUAAUUAUUUGGUGCUCUUCGCGAUUAGUUGUUGGGGACAGAUAGGAAGUUAAUUGCUCUUUCCGUGUUACGUUGAUAGUCUUGACUUUUUCUCACACACGUUAAGAAAAUUUUGUUAACUUUACUCAAAAAUUAAAUCUAGCCUAAUAUUUUUCUAAAAUGUUCUUACAUUAAAAAUAAAAAAAAAUAAAAAAAAAACGCAGCCAAGUAGUGGAUCAUAGCUAUCCAAAAAUGAGACGGAUUACCUACUCGAUUAAAUUAAACUUUCCUUUCGGCUGAUCAAGGAUUUAGCGUUUUGAUGGAAAUAAAAAUAAAAAAAAUAAAUGCAGCAAAGUAGUGGAUCAUAGUUGUUCAAGAAUGAGAAGGAUUACCUACUCGAUUAAAUUAAACUAAGGAGACAAAGAAGAAAUAGUAACUCUAUUAUUUUGGUUCGUUAUUAGAGUACAGUGAAAUCUCUAUAAAUUAAUACUCGAUAAAUUAAUAAAUUUUAUUAAAUAAUAAUUUCUUUGAUCCCAACUUGAACUAACAAGUUAAAUUAAUAUUUUUGAUAAAGAAUAAGAUAAUAAUUUUAUUUUGAAAAACUUACAUAAUCCUUUGGUUCCAUACGUAUCAUAAAUAAAUAAUUUACUCAAAAAUAUAUAUAAUAUUUUCUUAAAAUAUGAGUCUAUUGUUGUUUGUUUUUCUUAAAAUUUAAAUCUACCUAAAUCUCAUCCCCAAUUUUUCUUAUUGUAUCUAAAAGUUCCUUAUUCAAACUUUCUGUGUUAGGUUCAUGAGUAAAAAAGAUUACAUCCCACAUUGGUCCGAGAGAUGUAGAAAGAGUGGUUAAUAUGUAAGUAAUGAUACAAGACCUAAUGGCAAACAAGCCAAAAGCAUGAAAGAUGGACGACACACAACAUUUAAUGUGGUUCGGCCCCACCAUUGAGUUACGUUCACAGAGAGAAACUCGUUUUUUAUUAUGAGAGUAAAAUUCUAUACAAAAAUACAAUUUGAACCCAAACCCAACCUUUGUAUACUAUCUCUCAUUUCCCAAGAACCCUCUCUCACCCCAUGUAUAAGACUAAAUGUUGCUUCUUGUGUGCUCUUUUAUGUCUUUUUGUAGUAUAUCAACCCACCUAUUUAUAGAGAAUAUUAUUUGAUCAAAAUACCAAAUAACAAUAGAAAACCAAUUCUCAUUCCUAAAAUUGUACAAAAUAUGAAAUAACUUCUAAUUCUAAAUAAAAUAGAAAAUUUCUUAACUACUACUUCAGGUAACUAAAAUCAAUUAAAAAACUAGUUACUUCCACGUAAAAUAAAAAAUCUAUUUAAAAGAAAUUAAAUCAAUUUCCUAUAACUGUAGAUCAGUCAAGUUUGGCGAUUUUUAUUUUGCGGAGCCCUUGAAGCUAGCUUGCUGCCCUAUUGUCGGGGACUGCAUCAUCUUUAUAAGCUUAGCAAAGUGCGCGACGUGGGGCCUUUCUUCUUGACUUCUUAUUUUGUUUUAUUUUAAGUCUUUUUAAUUCUAAACUUGAAUUCUCAUAUUACAAUAAGAAAUUAUGAAAAGUUAUUGAUAACUUGAGUGCUUGCUUCGAGUUAUUGAUACUUUGAGUUGCAACCAAUAAAAUUGAAAGAAUUUGAGCACUCUCAAGGUGUUUUCAAAGGCAUUUUUGGCUGAGACCCGGGGCAAGCAUUUUGAUACUUCAUGAUUUUAAUUUUGAAGGAACAUAUGUUUUAGGUUCAAGCAAUUGAGCAUUAGCCUAUACUUUGAUAUGCCCGUCGAUAUAGGUUUUUUCUUUCAAUGCUACUGUGACGUGACCAAGCCGUCCAAAGCAGAGAUAAAAGAAUAGUACAAAAUGCUUGUCCUGCGCUAUAAUUUAUUUUCACAGACCAAGAAGAUGAAAAUCAAGUUCUACCUAACACUUAAAAUAAUAUUGAUUAAAUAAAAAAGCAAGAAAUUUCCAUUGUAGCAGCAUCCUAGAAAAUUAAUUUCCUACUAGUUGCUUAAAAAUUCCUUGUUUGACACUUGACACGUUUCUCCAUCGAAGAAAGGUAAAAAUAUGUUUCAGGCGUUUAUUAGUGCCACUAUCCAAGCUGCCUGGGGACGGCUUUAUCUCUUGCCUGCACUGAUGGAAUUGUUAUUAAUUUAUUUAUUUUUUGGGGAGUAAUAAAAUUAUUAUUACUGUAAUUUACUGCUUCAGUAAUCAAACGCAGAGACAGUAUAAUUUUCUCUUCCUAAUAAAAAGUAAAAACUUCCUGGUUUGACAUAUUAACUCUCCACAAUCUGCAGGCGACAAGGACUGCUACCUCCAAGGAAAUAAAAUAAGGUUGAGGCUCUUAUUAGUGCCAUUAUCCAGGCUGCCUGGGGACGGCUUUAUCUCUUGCCACGGAUAUGGUUUGGUAGGGCGGAUUUACGCUGGGCCGCUGGGGGCACGGCUACAUUGCUCUUAAAUUUCUACAAAAAAAUUGAUAUAAUUUCAAAUGUGCCUCCCGAAGUUUUGUGUAUCUAUUGAUUUAUAUGCUCUUAAAGUUAUCUUUGAUUUUACCUGUUAUUACAGCUACGAUAGAAAAGAUUUUUCAAUUAUGAACAUAACGAAGAAUUCGUUACGAAAUAGAAUGGAAGACACUUGGAUGAAUGAUUGUUUAGUUACUUAUAUAGAGAAAAAUAUAUUUCGUGAAAUUCAAAAUGAAAAAAUUGUAAACCGUUAUCAAAAUAUGAAAACUCGUCAUGAGCAAUUGUAAAUGGUUUAGUUUGCUUUUUGAAAUAAAAUUAUUAUCACAUUAAUAAUUUUGAGUUUGUCUUUUUAUGUUUUUCAUGGAAUAUAUGCAUCAUUUGUACUUGUUUGUGAAUUUUUUUUCCUUAAAAAAACUAGAAAAAGAGUAGGUAAAAAAUUUUUGAGUUACUUUUGUCUCCACUGAAAAUUUUUUCUGGCUCCGCCACUGCAGUAAAAUGAGUUUCAUCUGCUAACAUUAUCAUAUUUUACUGCUUCAUUUAUCAAAGUACUUUGCUUAAUUUUUUUUGUGUAACGAUAAAUCUAAUCUAGUCUAAACUACUCAUAUUCCUACUCUAGCCUACUGGGGGUUUGCCCAAUUGACCCGAGAGAAUUAACGGGGACUGAACCACCAUCGGAUCAGACAGGUACACCAUGCACUCGUGUAGAUUUAAAAAAAGCCACAUACAUAGUGACACGUUGAUGGGAGGUAAGGUUUGAAUCCUUAACCUCCCACCCCAUAAUGUACGUGAUGGAGGAAGUUGCUUAAGUACUUUGCUUAAUGUGUUCAGCAUUUCAAGGCGAAAGAUUCAAUCAUUGUUUGAAUUCGAGCCGGCUUUAACUAAGCUCAAGCAAGUCGAAUAACUUGACAAGUUUGAACUCAUUUAUAUGUGUUUGUGUGCGCGUGAAGCUCGCAUGCUUAUCUUAGCACAGCAAAGCAUAUUUAUAUCGAAUAGAUUUAGGUAUUGUAAACUUUAAACGUAUGGACACUGAUAAAAAGAAAAUUAAAUAAAUGCAUGUUGACAUUGUAAAUUCAUUGUUUGUUAUCAAUACCUCUAUGUAUAAAUCUAUAUUUACUCAAAGAAGACAGCCACAGCAGGCUUUCUUGUUUCAUUACUAUUACUACUUUGAUUAUUGAGUCUUCCACAAAUUCUGCUUCCUACAGUUUUCUGUUCCAUCUUUGUUAGUCAAUUGCAUCACCUGCCUGUACUCUUGGUUCAAAAAAGUCCUUCAUAUAUUGUUGUCUGAUCAAGUACAAAAAGGCUUCCUAGUUUUUACACUGAUAUCAAGACUAGCGUAGAAGACAUUGGAUAUGGCAGAAGCCGCUGUUUCUCUGGUGAUUGACAAGCUGGGCAAUCUCUUGAUUCAGCAAACCGUUCAGCAGAUCGUAUUCCUCAAAAAUGUUCCUGAACAAAUUCAAAGCCUGAAAACAUUGCUGAUCGACAUUCAGUGCUUCUUGAAGUUUGCAGAUGAACAACAAGAUGACAACCCAAUGAUCCGCAACUGGGUGUCUAAACUUAGAGAUGCAGCGUAUGAAUCUGAAGAUGUCAUUGAGACGUUUAUUGUUAAGAUGCAGGCCUUAAAGAAGAAGGGCAUCUUGGAAAAUUUGUCUUGCUUUCCCAAACGGUUAUUAUAUCUCUACAAGGUGGGGAAGAACAUUGAAUCCAUCCAGAAAAAGAUGCUCGAUAUUGAGAAAAGUCGCCUGACUUUUGGUAUUGAUCAAGUUCUUGGAGAAGGGACGAGCACAAGAGGAGAGGAGCUGCGGAAAUUGCUGAGAUCCUCACCUUUCACCGAGGACAAGGAUUUGGUGGGCCUGGAGGAAAAAACAAAUUCGCUGGUUGCACAACUUCUGGUGCAGGACAGCAGCCGCCGAGUAAUAUCAAUUGUUGGAAUGGCAGGAGUUGGCAAAACAACUCUUGCCAGAAAAGUUUACAAUCAUGUUGACGUGAUUCGAUAUUUUAAUUGCCGUGCCUGGGUUUAUGUUUCUCAAAAGUGCAGUGCCCAGGAAGUACUGGUGGGAAUCAUAAAGCAAGUCGAAAAACAAACCAAGGAAUCACUUGACUUGUUGGAAGGAAUGCAAGAGGCAGAUCUGGAGAGGAUGGUUCGGGAGAAACUUCAAGACAAAUGUUACCUUGUAGUUCUUGACGAUAUCUGGGAAGAAGAAGCUUGGGAUUCUCUGGCAGCAGCAUUUCCUAAUGUAAAUAAUGGCAGCAGACUUCUAAUGACUAGUCGCUAUGAGAAGGUUCCUCGGUAUGCGGAUGCUCUAAGCAAACCUUAUAAGUUGGAAACCUUGGGAGAGAAAGAUGGCUGGCAAUUGUUUCUCAAGAAGGCACUUGCUUAUGGUUUGACAUCAGAAUCCAAGUUGCCCCCAGACCUAGAAGCCAUCGGAAGAAAAAUCGUUGAAAGAUGUGAUGGUCUUCCUCUGGCGAUUACCGUCAUAGGACGCCUAUUACAAGGAAAGAGUGAAUGGAAAAGCGUUCUGGACACUCUCACCGACCAGUGGUCAAGGGGCCGGAAAGGAGUUUCAGCUGUUUUGGCAUCAAGCUACAAUGACCUUCCAUCUUAUCUCAAGACUUGUUUUUUGUCCUUUGCUAUCUUUCCAGAAGACUUUGUCAUCCCAACACGUAAGUUGUUCCAUAUGUGGAUCGCUGAGGGCUUAAUUCAUCAAAAAGGAG
This 35555-nucleotide long non-coding RNA is filed under the name Coffea arabica (coffee). RNAcentral describes it as "long non-coding RNA (CARA_LNC003167)". Lineage: Eukaryota; Viridiplantae; Streptophyta; Magnoliopsida; Gentianales; Rubiaceae. The record is from RNAcentral.